AAACUUCAAAUACCCCCUUUAGUUUUACAUUUUUUUUAUUUUACUAUCCUAUGAUUUAAAGUAUGUCACGUUCAUUCCUAUGAUUUCGUACUUUUUUACUUUAGUACUAUGUAGUUUAAAGUAUAUCGAGUCAGUACCAUGUGGUUUCAUUUUUUUUAUUUUAUUAUCUAUUUCACUAAUUUUUUUCGUUAAAUUAGUGAUAAAGUUAAAAUUAAAGGGUACUAAAAUAAAUAUUCGAUAAACCUAGAUUAGAUAUUUGAAAUUUUUUGUAUAUAAUUUAACGAAAUAUUAACGGUAGAAAAAAAUCGGUGAAAAGUUAAAACUAAAGGAUACUAAAGUAAAUAUUCGAUAAACCUAGGUAGGAUAUCUGAAGUUUUUUGUAUAUAAUUUAACGAAAUAUUAACAAAGGAGCCGGCGAAAAAAGAAAAAUGAAACCACAGGGUACUAAAUUGAUGCACUUUAAACCACAGGGUACUAAAGUGCGAAACCACAGGUUACUAAAUUGAUAUACUUUAAACCACGGAGUACUAAAGUGAAAAAGUACGAAGCUACAGAGGUGGUAUUUAAAGUUUUUCCUAAAUUUUUUACUCAUUGGAUAAAAAUUUGGAGGGUUGGGAACUUGGGAUGGAGGAAUGGUUAAUAAAAUUGUGUGAUCUAACGGAUAAAAAUAAUUCAAAAAUAAAUUAAACGAUAAAAAAUUUAUAAAUAUUAAGUGCUCAGUACUUUUCAAAACACUAUCUACAAAUACAAUAUCUUAGCUCUUCCAAACACAAAGGAGUAAAUUGCACUAUUAGUUCCUUAAUAACUUUUUCACUCAAGUUUUGAUUCGAAAAACGAAUAGAAAAAAUUAUUUUUCGGAUAAAAAUUACUUUUUUAACUACAAAUUUAUAAAAAUAUUAAAGUUUUUAUUUUUCAUCAUUUUUUGCUUAGUAAAUUUUUUUUCAAUUAUUUUUUUUUACCGAAUCAAAUAAAUAUGAAUUUUUUUCUUUCAACCAAAUAAACAUUGAUGAAUUUUUUUUUCCCUACAAAUUAGACACUACAAAAUGUAAAAUUUUUUUCCAAAAAAAGUCUUUUUACGAAAAAUUAUUUUUCCAGAUUUUACGUUGAACAAAAUAAAAACUUAGAAUCCAAAUAAAAUUUAGUGAUUUUGAUAAUUGUUAUUUGUUUUAUAAGAAAUAAUAUGUUUUAGAGAUAAUCUUAAGGUGGAAAAAGACAAAUGCAUAAAUGUGUAAAAAUUUAGAAAAAAAUAUUAAUAACAAAACUUUAAUAACUAAAAUUUUUAAAGUGUNCGGCGGCGGCGGCGGAGGAAGGGGGAGGAGGAGAGAAGAGGAGGACGAAGAAGAUGUAAACCAUUUUCCGCUGCUAUACAAAUCCAAAGAAUUUACCUCUUACGCUUUUAAGUUUACCAACUUAUCAGUGCUGGUAAAUUUUUGGGUAAACUUAAAAUACCCCCUUAUUUUAUUUACAUUUUCUUAUUUUUCUAUCCCGUAGUUUAAACUGUAUCACGUUCAUUCCUGUGAUUUCGUACUUUUUUUAUUUUAGUAUCUUGUAGUUUAAAGUAUAUCAAGUAUAUCAAAUUAGUACCCUAUGGUUUCAUUUUUCUUAUUUUAUUAUCUAUUUCACUAAUUUUUUUCGUUAAAUUAGUGAUAAAGUUAAAAUUAAAGAAUACUAAAGUAAAUAUUCGAUAAACCUAGAUGAGAUAUCUGAAGUUUUUUGUAUAUAAUUUAACGAAAUAUUAACGGUGGAAAAAAAUUGGUAAAAAGUUAAAACUAAAAGGUACUAAAGUAAAUAUUCGAUAAACCUAGGUAGGAUAUCUAAAGUUUUUGUAUAUAAUUUAACGAAAUAUUAACGAAUGAGCCGGCGAAAAGAGAAAAAUGAAACCACAGGAUACUAAAUUGAUGCACUUUAAACCACAGGGUACGAAAGUGCGAAACCACAGGUUACUAAAUUGAUAUACUUUAAACCACAGAGUACUAAAGUGAAAAAAUACGAAGCUACAGAGGUGGUAUUUAAAGUUUUUCCUAAAUUUUUUACUCAUUGGAUAAAAAUUUGGAAUGUUGGGAACUUGGGAUGGAGGAAUGGUUAAUAAAAUUAUGUGAUCUAACGGAUAAAAAUAAUUAAAAAAUAAAUUUAACGAUAAAAAAUUUAUAAAUAUUAAGUGCUCAAUACUUUUCAAAACACCAUAGCCAAACUCUAAGGGCGUGUUUGGUUCGCUUUUUUUUCACCCUGCAAUCGGAAUCAGAAUUGGUGAAUCGGUUUGUGGGUGUUUGGUACGCAGGAGUCCCUUUCCGAUUCUGAUUUCCGAGUGGAAUGGGAAUCCCCUAAUCACCCAUUUUUUCAAUUCGGCCUAGGAGGCCGGAUUGAAAGUUGAAUUCGGACGGAAUGAAUAUUUAUUCGGAUUAAAUUUAUUUUUUCAACUUUUUUAAUUAAAAUAUGAGUUAAAAUUUAGAAAUUAAAUUUUAAAUUUUAAAUUUUAAUUUGAAUUUGAAUUAAAAAAUUAAAAUUU
RNAcentral lists this long non-coding RNA (2506 nucleotides) under Ananas comosus (pineapple). Its description in RNAcentral is "long non-coding RNA (ACOM_LNC032440)". Lineage: Eukaryota; Viridiplantae; Streptophyta; Magnoliopsida; Poales; Bromeliaceae. The record is from RNAcentral.